RNAcentral lists this transfer RNA (82 nucleotides) under Cyanosarcina radialis HA8281-LM2. Its description in RNAcentral is "tRNA-Leu". It matches the Rfam family "tRNA". From Rfam's summary of the family: Transfer RNA (tRNA) molecules are approximately 80 nucleotides in length. RNAcentral also lists the same sequence under 7 other names. The record is from RNAcentral. Lineage: Bacteria; Bacillati; Cyanobacteriota; Cyanophyceae; Chroococcales; Chroococcaceae.
GCGGAUGUGGCGGAAUUGGUAUACGCGCACGUUUGAGGGGCGUGUGGCGCAAGCCUUGCGAGUUCGAGUCUCGCCAUCCGCA